Molecule: ribosomal RNA, 663 nt
Filed under: Streptococcus infantarius
Lineage: Bacteria; Bacillati; Bacillota; Bacilli; Lactobacillales; Streptococcaceae
Description: bacterial SSU rRNA
Rfam family: Bacterial small subunit ribosomal RNA
Source: RNAcentral
GUGCCUAAUACAUGCAAGUAGAACGCUGAAGACUUUAGCUUGCUAAAGUUGGAAGAGUUGCGAACGGGUGAGUAACGCGUAGGUAACCUGCCUACUAGCGGGGGAUAACUAUUGGAAACGAUAGCUAAUACCGCAUAACAGCAUUUAACCCAUGUUAGAUGCUUGAAAGGAGCAAUUGCUUCACUAGUAGAUGGACCUGCGUUGUAUUAGCUAGUUGGUGAGGUAACGGCUCACCAAGGCGACGAUACAUAGCCGACCUGAGAGGGUGAUCGGCCACACUGGGACUGAGACACGGCCCAGACUCCUACGGGAGGCAGCAGUAGGGAAUCUUCGGCAAUGGGGGCAACCCUGACCGAGCAACGCCGCGUGAGUGAAGAAGGUUUUCGGAUCGUAAAGCUCUGUUGUAAGAGAAGAACGUGUGUGAGAGUGGAAAGUUCACACAGUGACGGUAACUUACCAGAAAGGGACGGCUAACUACGUGCCAGCAGCCGCGGUAAUACGUAGGUCCCGAGCGUUGUCCGGAUUUAUUGGGCGUAAAGCGAGCGCAGGCGGUUUAAUAAGUCUGAAGUUAAAGGCAGUGGCUUAACCAUGGUUCGCUUUGGAAACUGUUAGACUUGAGUGCAGAAGGGGAGAGUGGAAUCCAUGUGUAGCGGUGAAAUGCGU